This 421-nucleotide ribosomal RNA is filed under the name uncultured bacterium. Its description in RNAcentral is "bacterial SSU rRNA". It matches the Rfam family "Bacterial small subunit ribosomal RNA", at positions 28 to 438 of the family's 1533-position model. The record is from RNAcentral.
GAUGAACGCUGGCGGCGUGCCUAAUACAUGCAAGUCGAACGAGGUGCUUUUUGUAGCAAUACGAGAGUAUCCUAGUGGCGAACGGGUGAGUAACGCGUUGGUGACCUACCCCAAAGUGUGGGAUAACAGUCCGAAAGGAUUGCUAAUACCGCAUGUGGUCUUUCGGGUUUAGAAACUGAUGACUAAAGGAGCAAUUCGCUUUGGGAGGGACCUGCGUCCCAUCAGCUAGUUGGUGAGGUAAUGGCUCACCAAGGCUACGACGGGUAGGGGACCUGAGAGGGUGACCCCCCCGACAAUGGAACUGAAACACGGUCCAUACACCUACGGGUGGCAGCAGUAGGGAAUAUUGCACGAUGGGCGAAAGCCUGAUGCAGCAACGCCGCGUGUGCGAUGAAGGCCUUCGGGUCGUAAAGCACUUUUC